RNAcentral lists this unclassified non-coding RNA (327 nucleotides) under Hevea brasiliensis (rubber tree). Lineage: Eukaryota; Viridiplantae; Streptophyta; Magnoliopsida; Malpighiales; Euphorbiaceae. The record is from RNAcentral.
AGCACUCUUCACUGGAAGAAUAUAGAGUUGUGUCAAUUUGACUAGCUCAGCAAAUUUAUCCCAAAUGGAAUACAACUCUUAUUAUUCUGCAUGACUCUGAGAUGCAAUCUAGGAUAGAAUAGGCAAUCUACAAAUUGCAGCCCAUCCAAAACAAUUUAAGCACUGUAAAGAGCUCAUUUCUCAAUUUGAUGAAUCUCGGCUGUAGUAUUGGUCAAGAGUCUUUGCUGGUAUACGGUGCAGUAGCUCACGAGGGAAGAUGCGAAGCAAUGUCCAGGCUAAAUCAAGUGAUUGGAAAAUGUUGCGAGUGUCAUAAGCUCCUUGGGCAAC